UGGGGAAUAUUGCACAAUGGGCGCAAGCCUGAUGCAGCCAUGCCGCGUGUGUGAAGAAGGCCUUCGGGUUGUAAAGCACUUUCAGCGGGGAGGAAGGCGAUAAGGUUAAUAACCUUGUCGAUUGACGUUACCCGCAGAAGAAGCACCGGCUAACUCCGUGCCAGCAGCCGCGGUAAUACGGAGGGUGCAAGCGUUAAUCGGAAUUACUGGGCGUAAAGCGCACGCAGGCGGUCUGUCAAGUCGGAUGUGAAAUCCCCGGGCUCAACCUGGGAACUGCAUUCGAAACUGGCAGGCUAGAGUCUUGUAGAGGGGGGUAGAAUUCCAGGUGUAGCGGUGAAAUGCGUAGAGAUCUGGAGGAAUACCGGUGGCGAAGGCGGCCCUCUGGACAAAGACUGACGCUCAGGUGCGAAAGCGUGGGGAGCAAACAGG
RNAcentral lists this ribosomal RNA (429 nucleotides) under Chloroflexota bacterium. RNAcentral's name for it is "Chloroflexi bacterium partial 16S ribosomal RNA". It matches the Rfam family "Bacterial small subunit ribosomal RNA", at positions 355 to 776 of the family's 1533-position model. The record is from RNAcentral. Lineage: Bacteria; Bacillati; Chloroflexota.